UGCAGUCGAGCGGCAGCACGGGUACUUGUACCUGGUGGCGAGCGGCGGACGGGUGAGUAAUGCCUAGGAAUCUGCCUGGUAGUGGGGGAUAACGCUCGGAAACGGACGCUAAUACCGCAUACGCCCUACGGGAGAAAGCAGGGGACCUUCGGGCCUUGCGCUAUCAGAUGAGCCUAGGUCGGAUUAGCUAGUUGGUGAGGUAAUGGCUCACCAAGGCGACGAUCCGUAACUGGUCUGAGAGGAUGAUCAGUCACACUGGAACUGAGACACGGUCCAGACUCCUACGGGAGGCAGCAGUGGGGAAUAUUGGACAAUGGGCGAAAGCCUGAUCCAGCCAUGCCGCGUGUGUGAAGAAGGUCUUCGGAUUGUAAAGCACUUUAAGUUGGGAGGAAGGGCAGUUACCUAAUACGUGAUUGUUUUGACGUUACCGACAGAAUAAGCACCGGCUAACUCUGUGCCAGCA
This 463-nucleotide ribosomal RNA is filed under the name Pseudomonas sp. RNAcentral's name for it is "bacterial SSU rRNA". It matches the Rfam family "Bacterial small subunit ribosomal RNA", at positions 56 to 513 of the family's 1533-position model. Lineage: Bacteria; Pseudomonadati; Pseudomonadota; Gammaproteobacteria; Pseudomonadales; Pseudomonadaceae. The record is from RNAcentral.